AGCAGCCGCGGUAAUUCCAGCUCCAAUAGCGUAUAUUAAAGUUGUUGCAGUUAAAAAGCUCGUAGUUGAAUUUCAGGCCUGGCUGGACGGUCCGCCCUUCGGGUGAGUACUGUCUGUGGUCGGGUCCUACCUUCUGGCGAAGCGUCAUGGCCUUAACCGGCCGUGGCGGGGAACCAGGACUUUUACUGUGAAAAAUUAGAGUGUUCAAAGCAGGCAAUCGCUUGGAUACAUUAGCAUGGAAUAAUGGAAUAGGACAAUGGUUCUAUUUGUUGGUUUCUAGGACCGUUGUAAUGAUUAAUAGGGAUAGUUGGGGGCAUUAGUAUUCAAUUGUCAGAGGUGAAAUUCUUGGAUUUAUUGAAGACUAACUACUGCGAAAGCAUUUGCCAAGGAUGUUUUCAUUAAUCAAGAACGAAAGUUAGGGGAUCGAAGACGAUCAGAUACCGUCGUAGUCUUAACCAUAAACUAUGCCGACUAGGAAUCGGGCGAUGUUGAAAA
This 495-nucleotide ribosomal RNA is filed under the name uncultured Paraglomus. RNAcentral describes it as "SSU rRNA". It matches the Rfam family "Eukaryotic small subunit ribosomal RNA", at positions 569 to 1069 of the family's 1831-position model. Lineage: Eukaryota; Fungi; Glomeromycota; Glomeromycetes; Paraglomerales; Paraglomeraceae. The record is from RNAcentral.